UCUAAUGUCAGCUGCCUGGUCCCACAUACUCACACCAAAUGGCAGAUGCAGGGGAUUUCCAGGAUGCUGUGUGAGCUUGUGCCACUGUGGCCAGCUCAGCUGCUCAGCUCCUACGCUGGCCCAUAAUAGGCUCAUUAUAGCAGUAGUACCAUAGUGUGUGUGUGUGUGUGUGUGUGUGUGUGUGUGUGUGUGUUUUGGGGGGGACAUGGUUAUGUCUAGCUAAAAGUAUAUCAAAUUCUUGGUAGCUAAGAGUGGCUGCAUGGUCCCAUUUUAGCCCCUGAUUUAUAAAUUCGCUUCUAAAGGACUUGGGGGGGGGGAAAGUUUUUGCUUUCUGGAGACAAAUGCUAUCCACUUAGGUUUCCUUCCCUUCUUUUGGCCUGGAAUGCCAAGGUGAUGACUGAGAGCACUGCAGCCAUCUCGGAACCUUGUUGCAUGAAGACGGAGGCCUGGAAUGCAAGGCUUGUGAUGCCAAAAGAAGUGCUGGACCCCGGAGCUGUUCCCGGAUUGCUGACCCAGUCUUUGAACUCAUUUCUGGAUUAUAACCCUGGGUCCACCGAAGCGGCUACUGACACUCUCCCACCACCUGCUUGGUUUCCUCGUGACUGCGUGUGACCAGGAUGGGGUCUCAUGCUUCACCUGGGCAUCUGGACUGGGGCUGCCUCGUCUUUGCGGGCCUCCCUCCUACAGUGCUGAGCUGACUGAAAACACUCAAAAAUCCCAGGCUGUCGGGGCUGGCUCAGCCGUUUAAAAUGCUUACCGGUUGUUCAGAGGACCUGGGUUCGGUUCCCAGCACCCUCAGAUCUGCUCUCCAUCUCUGGUGGCUGGUUCGAGAUGAUCCAAACCCCUCUUCUGACCUCUGUGGGCUCCUGCAUGCAUGUGGUGCUCAUGAAUGCGUUCAGACACACUCACAUGCAGACCCAUGGCACUAGCUGAAGUUCACUCUGCAAGCAAAUACGCUGCCAGCUGCAAUGAAGGUGGAUAAACCCAGCGCCCUUAGUCUUAGAGAUUGCUUGGCAGAUAUGGCAGGUUCCACAGGAUCUGGGAGCUAG
RNAcentral lists this long non-coding RNA (1049 nucleotides) under Cricetulus griseus (Chinese hamster). RNAcentral describes it as "lncRNA (ENSCGRG00015036979.1)". The record is from RNAcentral. Lineage: Eukaryota; Metazoa; Chordata; Mammalia; Rodentia; Cricetidae.